RNAcentral lists this long non-coding RNA (318 nucleotides) under Setaria viridis. RNAcentral's name for it is "long non-coding RNA (SVIR_LNC008744)". The record is from RNAcentral. Lineage: Eukaryota; Viridiplantae; Streptophyta; Magnoliopsida; Poales; Poaceae.
GGGAAAGGACAGGGGUGCAGGCAAAGUCCAUUUCAGUAAGAUGAAGAAAAAUAAUAAGCAGGGAACACUUGGCAAACAACAAUAAAGCAUGAGGCACUGUGACAUUGGUUACAAUGAGUUUCAUUUUCUUGGUCUGUGAUCUUAAUCAUAGAACGAAAGAAAAUAGAACGAAAGAAAGUACAAGUAAAUUUCAUCAUAAAUGUUGUUAGUGUUUCUCCUAAGCGCAAUGAUGAGUUGCUAGCAAAACAAGAAGAGGAAAUUGCCCAUGAAAUUGAAUUGGGAGAGCUUGACACAGGGCGAGGGGUAAAUCAGAUUUUC